This 253-nucleotide ribosomal RNA is filed under the name uncultured bacterium. Its description in RNAcentral is "partial 16S ribosomal RNA". It matches the Rfam family "Bacterial small subunit ribosomal RNA", at positions 524 to 776 of the family's 1533-position model. The record is from RNAcentral.
GACGAACCGUGCGAACGUUGUUCGGAAUCACUGGGCUUAAAGGGCGCGUAGGCGGGCGCACAAGUCAGGGGUGAAAGCCCACGGCUCAACCGUGGAAGGGCCUUUGAUACUGUGUGUCUUGAGGGAGGUAGGGGCGUGCGGAACUUCCGGUGGAGCGGUGAAAUGCGUAGAUAUCGGAAGGAACACCGGUGGCGAAAGCGGCGCGCUGGAUCUCUUCUGACGCUGAGGCGCGAAAGCCAGGGGAGCAAACGGG